GCGGUUUUUGAGGAUGUUUUUUGUCCGCUUCUAUAUGCCCUCCCAGCAUACCCUUCGGUUGUGGGAGAGGAAACAAAAACUAGUC
This 85-nucleotide telomerase RNA is filed under the name Paecilomyces variotii No. 5. Its description in RNAcentral is "Byssochlamys spectabilis No. 5 Ascomycota telomerase RNA". It matches the Rfam family "Ascomycota telomerase RNA", at positions 1285 to 1381 of the family's 1858-position model. The record is from Rfam by way of RNAcentral. Lineage: Eukaryota; Fungi; Ascomycota; Eurotiomycetes; Eurotiales; Thermoascaceae.